Bacteroides fluxus YIT 12057 is the source of this 143-nucleotide regulatory RNA element. It matches the Rfam family "Bacteroidete tryptophan peptide leader RNA". The record is from Rfam. NCBI's taxonomy places the organism in Bacteria, Pseudomonadati, Bacteroidota, Bacteroidia, Bacteroidales, Bacteroidaceae.
GUCAAAAACAAAAAAAGACAAUGAAAACAAGAUUCGUAAAUACAUAUUGGUGGUGGCACCCGUUACAACUCCGGCAGUCGUAAGGGAGCAGUGCUCGUAUGUAUAUAUGUAAUAUAUUAUAAGGAAUAAGAAAGAGCCCUGUC